GGAGGGCUAGGUGGGGGGAGGACGGAACUGAGAGAGGAGCCGGAUGACCCGGAUGUCCCCCCAUCUUCAUCUCCCCCUGCAGUGAGGAGCCUCUGACAGCGUAGGACGCAUGGUCCUGCUCACUGCCCCUUGGCCACUGCCCAGCGUGGCACCUCAUCCGAGACAGUGCUGGCCUCCAGAUCCCCCCGGGUGUGCCCAGUGUCUGGUCUUCUCUCCCCGGCCUGUCCUGAGUCCCUCUGCUGCCUCCGGCCACUUAGCAUGCAGGCCCCGGUCUGCAGGCUGCAGCAGCCAAAUGAGAUUAGCUUGCGUGCAAAAGCAAGUCCCUACUCGCUGCCACCACCCCCGGGCCCUGCGCAGCCCCAGCUGUUCUGGGGAGCCUCCAGGGCCCAGCCUGGUUUCUGCCACCCCAUCCCCCACCCCCAUCGAACUCGGGGCCAGCCAGAGCCAGGUCAGAGAGGAUGAAGGAUGUGCCCAACUUCAUCGCCAUGCCUCAUCCUCCCUCUCAUCAGCCCUUCUGGAGUCAGCCAGGGGAGGGGGGCAGCAGAGGGAGACCAACAGGAUUAAAGAUCCUUCCUUGCUCUGUAUCCCUCGCCAGUUCUCCAGCAAACCUCCUGGAGGGAGCAAAGAGGAGGGCCACUAGGAAUCAAGCAACAAGGUCUGGUCCGGCCCCGCGCCUCCCUGCCUCUCUCCUGGUCGGAGAAGGAAGAGAAGGACCCAGGUCAACCGCCCAGCCCUAAUCCAGCUGGAGUCCCUGUCCCCAGUCCCCAGGAAGUUUGCAGGGGUCUGUGAAGGAAACUGGGGAAAGACUGGGUCCCCAAACAGGACCCUGCGAGAGCCCACGGGCUACCCGCUACCCGCCCAGCCAGCAGUGACUCCAUCCUGAGGCCACUCCCAUGGCCCCGAGCUGCCCUGGGGCUGGCUGGGUGCCAUUGGGCUGCUCCCUUGAAGGUCUGAGUUUGGCACCUGCUGGCUGCGGAAGGCAAGUCCUUGGCAUAUCCCCGCCAUCUACCUAGCCAGCCCAGGUAUCCACCCAUCACUGGUCUGGUGAGGAGCCAAGGAACCC
Molecule: long non-coding RNA, 1063 nt
Organism: Dama dama (fallow deer)
Lineage: Eukaryota; Metazoa; Chordata; Mammalia; Artiodactyla; Cervidae
Exons: 4
Source: RefSeq, a predicted model, not a curated record